UACGAAGGGUGCAAACGUUGUUCGGAAUUACUGGGCGUAAAGCGCGUGUAGGCUGCUCGGAAAGUCGGAUGUGAAAGCCCUGGGCUUAACCUAGGAAGUGCAUUCGAAACUUCCGAGCUGGAGUUCUGGAGAGGAAGGCGGAAUUCUCGGUGUAGAGGUGAAAUUCGUAGAUAUCGAGAGGAACACCGGUGGCGAAGGCGGCCUUCUGGACAGUGACUGACGCUGAGACGCGAAAGCGUGGGGAGCAAACAGG
This 253-nucleotide ribosomal RNA is filed under the name uncultured bacterium. RNAcentral's name for it is "partial 16S ribosomal RNA". It matches the Rfam family "Bacterial small subunit ribosomal RNA", at positions 524 to 776 of the family's 1533-position model. The record is from RNAcentral.